Long non-coding RNA from Lucilia sericata (common green bottle fly), 1147 nucleotides. RefSeq lists it as uncharacterized. NCBI's taxonomy places the organism in Eukaryota, Metazoa, Arthropoda, Insecta, Diptera, Calliphoridae. The transcript has 2 exons. The record is from RefSeq and is a predicted model, not a curated record.
AAAAUUAUUACCAAUAUCAGACAAUAUGUAUGUAAUUAACAUAAUCAGUUGGUUGACUAGUCAUCAUCCCAUCCCAGCCAGACAAGUUGAUAGACAAAAGUCAUAAAAAUAUAAAACGAAAGAAAAAAAAAAACAAAACCUGUUUACAAAAAGCCGGUUGAAAUAUUUAGCACAAAAAGGGAAAAGAAACAGAACAGCAAAACUAAAAAAAAAUCCCCAAUAAAAACAAUUCUUAUAGGUUCCAACAGUAUUCUGUAGUCCCAACAAAUAUUCAACGAACGAUCCAUACAUUUAAACAUUAAUAAUAAGUUGGUUUAGGUUUACGCUUGUGUGAAUCAUACAUUUUUUAUUUUCUGUUCAAAUAAGUUAUAAGCUGUCGUGUGCACCCUGUAGGUAAAUGUGUGAAUGGUUGUAGAAAUAAGAAGAAGGGAAAAAUAAAGUUGGCAACGCGUCGUUUGACAUUUUUGAGAAAAAAAAAUGAAAGUAAACAAAAACAAACACUAGGAAAAUUAUUUGAAACAGUAGAUUGAAUAGCUGAAAGGAAUUGAAACAGUAGGAAACCAUUAUGGGAUCCGAGGUUUCUCGGACCCUAAUGUGCAAAAUGUCGGCUUUUUUCUUUGAGAUUCAACGAAGCAGCAAGUGGCAAGUGCGCACAAUAAAAGUCGUCUAAGCAUUUUUAAAGUCUUUAUUUAAAUCAAACAAUAUAAUAUAAUAUAAAUUAUAUAAAUUGAACACCAAAAAAAAAAAAAAAAAGGUUAUACAAAUAUUUCAACGCCACCUCUGCCGACUUCCAACGUGGGAUCUUUCAUUUGGGAACAUCGGCUCCGCACUGCCAAUCCUGGGGUGCGCAGGUAUACCAAAGGUUUCGACCAUAAAGAUUUUUGACCCUGAACGACAAGACGGACUGACAGUACCUUUUAAAUAAUUAAUAAAAAAAAAGGGAAAAUAGUAAAUAAAAAAAUUUAUAUAUAUAAAAUAACAAGCUUACCAUUGGUUAGAAUCGGACCAGACCGCUGGCCAAAAAUUACCGCCAAGCGUGCGCGACGUUAGGGUUGAGCUCAGGCCUAGUUUUUUAGAAGAAUUUGCGGCAGAUUUGCACCCAGUAGCUCAGUAUUUUUAUACGUAUAUAUAUGUAAAAAAAAAAAAA